Molecule: ribosomal RNA, 584 nt
Filed under: uncultured bacterium
Lineage: Bacteria
Description: bacterial SSU rRNA
Rfam family: Bacterial small subunit ribosomal RNA
Source: RNAcentral
CCUACGGGAGGCAGCAGUGGGGAAUUUUGGACAAUGGGCGCAAGCCUGAUCCAGCCAUGCCGCGUGCGGGAAGAAGGCCUUCGGGUUGUAAACCGCUUUUGUCAGGGAAGAAAUCCCUUGAGCUAAUACCUCGGGGGGAUGACGGUACCUGAAGAAUAAGCACCGGCUAACUACGUGCCAGCAGCCGCGGUAAUACGUAGGGUGCAAGCGUUAAUCGGAAUUACUGGGCGUAAAGCGUGCGCAGGCGGUUAUGUAAGACAGGUGUGAAAUCCCCGGGCUUAACCUGGGAACUGCACUUGUGACUGCAUAGCUUGAGUGCGGCAGAGGGGGAUGGAAUUCCGCGUGUAGCAGUGAAAUGCGUAGAUAUGCGGAGGAACACCGAUGGCGAAGGCAAUCCCCUGGGCCUGCACUGACGCUCAUGCACGAAAGCGUGGGGAGCAAACAGGAUUAGAUACCCUGGUAGUCCACGCCCUAAACGAUGUCAACUGGUUGUUGGACGGCUUGCUGUUCAGUAACGUAGCUAACGCGUGAAGUUGACCGCCUGGGGAGUACGGCCGCAAGGUUGAAACUCAAAGGAUUGACGG